AAAUAAAUAAAAAGCUCACGAGUGAGAUUUAUUACUAUGUGUUAUCUUUUCGUUUUUUGCCUGUCCUUUGCCUAGUUCCUAGGGCUUUAUGCGCAAGAAUUGCUUGUUGAAAGGUAAAAAAACCUACAUGAUAAUUACCAAAGUCUAUCAAAGAUGGAUUGAGAUGAUGAUUUUUUGGUCAACUUAAAAUAGGAGAUUCUUUUUGUUUCUCACCAAAUAAAAAGAAAAAAGCAAAAGAAAAGAAGCCUUUUUUAAUUUUGUUAAUUUUUCAUGUUUUUUGUUUGACUUGGUUGCAGGGUGUUGAUAAGUUCUCUGGAUAGAUGAUACUGAGUUAAACAGAAGGAAAAAGGAUUACAGUCCACUUCAGUGCGGUGGAAGCUGGUGUUUAUAAAGUCUGUAUAUAUUUGUGGUAGGAUAGGCAUAAGAAAGUUUUGUGAAGCAGGAGUGUUUCUCUUGCCCCCGCUUGGUGUUUUGCCAUGUAAAUUGAAUAUGGUUGUGGAAUUUAUCCGAAUGAGCCCAGCCAGAUGUAGCUUACACUAACAUACAUCGGAAUCUAUUUUAGUUGUUUGAUCUGUACGACCUUUGAUAUGGUGAUAAGAUAUGUUUGUGGCGGUUGCGAUAAAAUUAAAUUCUAUAUAACUGAAUGUUCAUUUUAUUAAUCUCUGUAAUCGAUUCUAAUACUAACUUUCAUGGGUGAGGUAUGUUAUAAAACGUUACCUUAUGGAUUUACUUUUCAACUCAUCCAAGAGUACGUGUGAGGUCUUCCAGAGUUGGGUUUGGAAAAUCAAGAUCUUCUUGUAAUGGUAAUCAAGCUAGUUUCAAGGCCGACAUCAAUGGCUUCAUCUUUAUAUAAGUUGUAUUGCCCUAUAUAGUUUAAUAUAUGGCUCUUGGCUCAAUACAAUGGAUGUAAUCAAUAGGUUGGCGCAUUCAUGCUGUUUGAUCUGAGCAUUAUUGCUAUGGCCUUUCAUGGAAAUAAUAUGGUGUAAUGAAAUUGUUUGUCUUGCUUAAAGAAUUCGGAUAAGAAGCAUCUUUUUCCAAAAAUCAUAGACAUAUUAGUGUGGGAAAAUUUAUGAAGAUAAAUAAAAGAAAGCAUAGGAGAAUAUUUUGAUGAGCCUGCAUGAUUCGAUCCUCUGCAUCUCAAGUCUAGCUAUGGUUAUUUAACAAGAGCGUGCAAAAUAAGGGCUUUAAGUUGAUGGAAAUUGUAUGGAAAACGUG
Molecule: long non-coding RNA, 1215 nt
Filed under: Phoenix dactylifera (date palm)
Lineage: Eukaryota; Viridiplantae; Streptophyta; Magnoliopsida; Arecales; Arecaceae
Description: long non-coding RNA (PDAC_LNC014901)
Source: RNAcentral